AUUGAAACACCAGUUCUCAUCUGAUCACUGAAGUUAAGCAAUAUUGAACCUGGUCAGUACUUAGAUGAGCAACUGCUCGAGAAUACCAGGUGCUGUAAG
Non-coding RNA from Acanthosepion pharaonis, 99 nucleotides. NCBI's taxonomy places the organism in Eukaryota, Metazoa, Mollusca, Cephalopoda, Sepiida, Sepiidae. The record is from the annotation of a GenBank genome assembly.